UUCCAUGAAGCCGGAAUUGCUAGUAAUGGCAGGUCAGCAUACUGCCGUGAAUACGUUCCCGGGCCCUGUACACACCGCCCGUCACACCAUGAGAGUUGGGAAUACCCGAAGCCUGUGAGCUAACGUAAGUGGCAGCAGUCGAAGGUAGAAUCAAUGAUUGGGGUGAAGUCGUAACAAGGUAAC
Molecule: ribosomal RNA, 183 nt
Filed under: uncultured bacterium
Lineage: Bacteria
Description: partial 16S ribosomal RNA
Rfam family: Bacterial small subunit ribosomal RNA
Source: RNAcentral